UGAGCAACCUGCCCCCUACUUCGGGAUAAGCCUGGGAAACUGGGUCUAAUACCGGAUAUGACUCCUCAUCGCAUGGUGGGGGGUGGAAAGCUUUUUGUGGUUUUGGAUGGACUCGCGGCCUAUCAGCUUGUUGGUGAGGUAACGGCUCACCAAGGCUUCGACGGGUAGCCGGCCUGAGAGGGCGACCGGCCACACUGGGACUGAGAUACGGCCCAGACUCCGUACGGGAGCAG
RNAcentral lists this ribosomal RNA (233 nucleotides) under uncultured bacterium. Its description in RNAcentral is "partial 16S ribosomal RNA". It matches the Rfam family "Bacterial small subunit ribosomal RNA", at positions 118 to 347 of the family's 1533-position model. The record is from RNAcentral.